AGAGUUUGAUCCUGGCUCAGGAUGAACGCUGGCGGCGUGCUUAACACAUGCAAGUCGAACGAAGCACCUUGAUUUGAUUCUUCGGAUGAAGAUCUUGGUGACUGAGUGGCGGACGGGUGAGUAACGCGUGGGUAACCUGCCUCAUACAGGGGGAUAACAGUUAGAAAUGACUGCUAAUACCGCAUAAGACCACAGCACCGCAUGGUGCAGGGGUAAAAACUCCGGUGGUAUGAGAUGGACCCGCGUCUGAUUAGGUAGUUGGUGGGGUAACGGCCUACCAAGCCGACGAUCAGUAGCCGACCUGAGAGGGUGACCGGCCACAUUGGGACUGAGACACGGCCCAAACUCCUACGGGAGGCAGCAGUGGGGAAUAUUGCACAAUGGGGGAAACCCUGAUGCAGCGACGCCGCGUGAGCGAUGAAGUAUUUCGGUAUGUAAAGCUCUAUCAGCAGGGAAGAAAAUGACGGUACCUGACUAAGAAGCACCGGCUAAAUACGUGCCAGCAGCCGCGGUAAUACGUAUGGUGCAAGCGUUAUCCGGAUUUACUGGGUGUAAAGGGAGCGUAGACGGAGUGGCAAGUCUGAUGUGAAAACCCGGGGCUCAACCCCGGGACUGCAUUGGAAACUGUCAAUCUAGAGUACCCGAGAGGUAAGCGGAAUUCCUAGUGUAGCGGUGAAAUGCGUAGAUAUUAGGAGGAACACCAGUGGCGAAGGCGGCUUACUGGACGGUAACUGACGUUGAGGCUCGAAAGCGUGGGGAGCAAACAGGAUUAGAUACCCUGGUAGUCCACGCCGUAAACGAUGACUACUAGGUGUUGGGCAGCAAAGCUGUUCGGUGCCGCAGCAAACGCAAUAAGUAGUCCACCUGGGGAGUACGUUCGCAAG
RNAcentral lists this ribosomal RNA (884 nucleotides) under uncultured bacterium. Its description in RNAcentral is "bacterial SSU rRNA". It matches the Rfam family "Bacterial small subunit ribosomal RNA", at positions 8 to 892 of the family's 1533-position model. The record is from RNAcentral.